ACCUACACUUCCGGAACUCGAUGUCCCGAAACAGCCAGUCCCUUCCUACUUUCCUCGGCGCUGAUUCUUUAAAGCUAGCCAGGUUUAAAAGACUGGCUUGUCUCACACAUCCGAGACGGCCUUACACUCCCUGUGUAGCAGAGGAUGAUUUGCAACUCCUGAUUCUCCUUGCUUUCCCAUCCCAAGUGUUGGGAUUAAAGGCCCGUACCACAUCUCCCUGGCCUUAAAGAAGUCAUUUCCAAUGGUGAAAACGGUGUCGAUGCCUCCGGGAGAGCCCUCUGCUUCGGGGAGAAGGACCCUGUUGGAGGAGGAAGGACCCUGUUCCCCAUCACUUAUAGGGAUGGCCGCUUUAGUAACCAUCCGUGUAUGUGGAUUGGCAUUUCUGUGAGGAUGGGAGGCAGGAAAAAGAUCUGAGUAAAGUGUGCCAUCUACUUUAAAGGACACCCAAUUUCACUCUCAACACACCCUAUUGGCUGGAACUCUUCUUCAAGUCCAGAUUUAACUGGGAGAGAGGCCUUGAAAAGAAGAUAGGAGAACUACACAAACCCCCGAACCCCCAGAAGCUAUGACUGGGGAAGAGAAAAAGGAGACGGUUACUAGAGAAAAAUAUGCAACCUUUGUUCCUGGAACCAGGCAUCUAACUUUCUAUCCUAGAAAGAUAGAUAACGUAUUCUGUCUCUCCAGGGGGUGGGUGUGGCAGUCAGAAAGCUAGAACUCAGUAACUUUAGGACAAAGAUCUUGUAAAACCCUGCUGUGGGCCAGCGGAUGAUCAAAUGAUAUGUUCACAAUUUUAUUUUCAGAUUUACUCUUAAAUGUUCAUUUAAAACUAGGUGUGAAGGAGAAGCAAUCUCAUUUUCCAAUUAUGUGAUAGCUAACGGGUUCCUAUUUCAUGGAAUCUUCAGUUACUGAGAGCUAAGUCCAGCUGGGACUUUAUCUGAACCUGGGUAGGAAGUACAGACCUCAGUCAUAUUCAAAUGAUCUCAUUGUCUGGAUCUUGAAUAUUCAGAUAAAGAUUCUUGGUUCUUCCCGUGUCUUCUUAGAAAAAGAAAUCUACCUCCCCAGGAUUGCCCAAAAUUUUACCUUAGAUUUUUCCUGUAAUGUUAUUUUGUCUCCUAAACUUUCUUAAAUAUGUCCUGCGUAAAUGUGACUUCAUCCAAGCUGGGGGCUAGAGAGGGGGCUUAGAGGUUAGGAGCUGCUCUUCCAGAGGGUCCAGGUUCAAGUCCCAGCACUCACCAGGCGCAUGGUAACCAUCUGUAAUUUCAGUUCCAGGGGAUCCGAUGCUUUCUUCUGGCCUGUCUGCGCCAGGCAUGUAAGAAGAGAAUGCAGCAGAUAAAACUUUCAUACACAUA
RNAcentral lists this long non-coding RNA (1349 nucleotides) under Mus pahari (shrew mouse). RNAcentral's name for it is "lncRNA (MGP_PahariEiJ_G0004506.1)". Lineage: Eukaryota; Metazoa; Chordata; Mammalia; Rodentia; Muridae. The record is from RNAcentral.